ACAUACAUUAUUUUUUCAUUUUACUUUGUGCUACCACGGUUUCCAUUUGCUUAUGGCUGUUGGUUGUGAGGUCUAGUGCUUUCUUAAAAUAUACUACUGCUUUGCACAUUGUGGGCCUGGGAGCUCCGGGUGCCAAAUAAAGAUUAGGACUAACACACCUUCAGUGUUUGAGUGAUGUGGGUUCCCGGUGAGCACCUACAUGCUGCUUACCUAGUACAGGCUGUGCAGCCAAGACAGCCCUGUGUGGCCCAGAAGACCAAACAUUUCAUGUGAACCUUUCCCCUUCAGGGUGAUAAAGAUCAGGUCGCUUGUCCCCAGUCCUUGUUACCUCCAUGUUAUUGAUUCACUUCCCAGUUGCCAUAUUCGAGGUAAGCCUCCAUAGCUUUAUCUUUGCUUUCAUGUCAACAAUGCAUGUCUGCAUCCUUGGACUGGCUUCAAGGGUUUCUGGCAAAAAAUUUGCAGUCUGUUAAUAGACUUGGGCACAAAUAGGACCUAACCAAGUGUGAAGGGAAUAAUGAAUUCAGACUGAGGCAUUUGGGAGAGACUGUUGGGGAAGUUCAUCCAGUGCAGGGCCUUGUCUUGUUGGGUGGCUCAGAUAUAUUAAUAUGACCCUUAUCCAAAUUAACAAUGUUACGCAUUUGCCCCUAAACUCCAGGUGCAUCAUUGAGAAGGGAAGGAAUUUGCUUUGCUUUGGAGGCACAUUAUUUCCUCAGGGUUCUCAUUUGGAUUGCCUUGGAGGUUGGUGUGAUGCCACAAUGUGCAGAGAGGCUGAGGACAGGGAGGGCAGGUGGGCUUCACUUUCCAGCCAGCUCUGAUUUCUGGGGAGUGGUAGUCUAUUCAGGGGGCUCCGAGGCCCUGUUUGGGUGGAUUGGGAAGAGUGUGCAGUUCCUUAGUGAUGUCUAUCAUAGGCACAGUGGGGAACUAGCAACAUUCAUGCUAGGUAUUUGCCAGCCUUGACAUAAUAAAACAGAUGUCACUGACUCCUGCCUCUUUGUCCAGCAGUGGUCAGCACUGCUUGGUCAGGCUGCAGGGCAUAGAUGGGUUGCAUCCUGAGUGAGAAAAUGCAUUUCCAGAUAUGUUUUUGUCUCUUCUUGCUGGCAGGACUAGGGUUAGUGUUUAUCAUUUGACUUAAACUCAUUCCCCCAAGUUCUUACUCUAUUUUCAUGUAUCGGCAGUUACUAUUUAAGUUGCUGCCCUCGCAGACUACAGUGAGGGCAACGAGCACAGACGAGAGCAAAGCUUCCCCACCCACAGACUGAUUAUGCAGUGUCACUGGGAGCCCCUAACACUGGAGACGCUGACUUAGGAAGUGUAGCGUGGGGUCACCGGGCAGGACUUUUAAAAAAUGUUCCCAGAUGGCUCUGAUCACUGUCAGGUUUGGGAGCUAGGGAUGGAAAUAAGUCAGUCUUAUGUAUUUCUCUUUUUUGGGGCUGCAGCUUUUGGCUGAUGCAGUUUGUAUAUCAGUUUCUCAAAAAUCCUCUUUUAUGUGCCCUGCACAGUUGUAUGUACACAGGGGAGGGCCUGGCAGGGAGCCUUAGCUAAAUGCUGUAUGUCAUAGAUCAUCUGGUUCUUGUGGGGUGUGUGUGUCAGAAUCACAUGGGAAACACCUUCAGAGGGUAGGGGCCUGGGCUCAGCGUGGGGAGUCUGAGGCAGCAGGUGCAGAGUGGGAGGAGCUGGGCACUGCACUUGUGCUUUGGCUGAGCUCCCGCUGACUCUGAGGGGAGCUUGGUGACAUUCUUCAUGGUCCACAGGACCUUGCUCAGAAAGAACUAUGUUCUCAUUUAGGAGAGCUUUGAGGCAGUUGGGAAGCAUUGUUGGUAAGGAUGUUGAGGCUUGAGAAUGUAAUGCUUUUUUCUUUACUAUGGCCCACACUCAGCAAAUAAUUGCCUCUGGGAUAAAUCCCCGACCCAUGCCCACCCCGAUCAGGGAAACAUAGUGGGGAGUUCAGAAACGGACUCUUCAGUAGGCGGUGCCUGAGUCUCCUCAGAUGACCUGGUGCAUUGGGCUAAGCUGCUAAAUGCAUAGCCUGAAGUGGAUUUGAGUUGGUUCCUCUGCAUGGUUUGAAGGCUCCCUCGCCACCUUUCAGCACUUCUGAUGAGUCCCUAUUUUUAUUGUAAAAGUAUGACAACAAUAUUAAGAUGAAAAAAUGACCUCUUUUAUGUUUUUAUUUUCUACAUGUCAUUCCAGUCUUUGGUUCUGUGAAUACACAUCUUUACAUGGUUAUAAUCACGGCCCCUCCAGUUAAUUGGCUUGCCCACAGUUUUACUGUGAAGUAGAGCUGAGAUUUGAAGUCGGCUGGGCCCUCUACAUACAUGUUUCCUUCCCUUUGUGGGAUUGAGUAGAAGGUGCAAUAUUUAGGUAUGACCACAGGGUGGUGCCAAAAAUCAACACAUAGCUGCCCCCACCUCCAUUGGACUGAAAACCAAACCAAAAACCUAAGCCUGUAAUCUGGGAAUUUGGAUGAGGAUAUAGGGAGAUGGCUCAGGAGUCUAGAAGACCUGGCAAGUAUGGUGUGGAUGGGGACAGAAUUUACUUCAUGGUCUGGUGUAACCUGAAUCUGUAGACUUGAUGCCUGUUGAUAUAAUUGGUUUUUAAUAAAUUUUUGAUCCU
Molecule: long non-coding RNA, 2610 nt
Filed under: Homo sapiens (human)
Lineage: Eukaryota; Metazoa; Chordata; Mammalia; Primates; Hominidae
Description: non-protein coding lnc-DRGX-3:1
Source: RNAcentral